UUAAUUAGUAUUAGUUAUGUUCUUUAAAGUUAAAAAUUUUGGCGGUAUUUUAGUCUAUUUAGAGGAACCUGUUUAAUAAUUGAUAAUCCACAAUUUAUUUUACUUAUUUUAAUAAAUUUGUAUAUCGUCGUUAAUGAAUAUUUUAAAAGAAUUUAAAUAUUCAGGAUUUAUAAUUUUAGAAUAAGUCAGAUCAAGGUGCAGUAUAUAAAUAAGGUGUAAUGGGUUACAAUAAAGUUAUUUAUGGAUAAAUAAUUGAAAUUAUUUUGAAAUUGGAUUUAAUAGUAAUAAAAUUUAAUUUAGUUUUAUGAUUUAAGCUCUAGAAUAUGCACACAUCGCCCGUC
RNAcentral lists this ribosomal RNA (341 nucleotides) under Achenomorphus corticinus. RNAcentral describes it as "partial 12S ribosomal RNA". The record is from RNAcentral. Lineage: Eukaryota; Metazoa; Arthropoda; Insecta; Coleoptera; Staphylinidae.